RNAcentral lists this unclassified non-coding RNA (405 nucleotides) under soil metagenome. Its description in RNAcentral is "partial contains 5.8S ribosomal RNA, internal transcribed spacer 2, and large subunit ribosomal RNA". The stretch from base 1 to 121 matches the Rfam family "5.8S ribosomal RNA", at positions 35 to 154 of the family's 154-position model. The record is from RNAcentral.
GAUGAAGAACGUAGCGAAAUGCGAUAAGUAAUGUGAAUUGCAGAAUUCAGUGAAUCAUCGAAUCUUUGAACGCACCUUGCGCCCUUUGGCCAUUCCGAAGGGCAUGCCUGUUUGAGUAUCAUGAACACCUCAACUCUUUAUGGUUUUCCAUGAUGAGCUUGGACUCUGGGGGUUUUGCUGGCUCACAGUCGGCUCCUCUAAAAUGAAUCAGCUUACCAGUGUUUGGUGGGUAUCAUGAGUGUGAUAACUAUCUACGCUUGUGGUUUUUCCACCAGGUAACCUUCAGCAGUGGAGGUUCGCUGGAGCUCAUAGAUGUCUCUCCUCAGUGAGGACAGCCCUUUGAAUGUUUGAUCUCAAAUCAGGUAGGACUACCCGCUGAACUUAAGCAUAUCAAUAAGCGGAGGA